This is an RNA transcript of Mus musculus (house mouse), 2467 nucleotides long. It is a transcript of the gene named TNF receptor-associated protein 1, with no coding region annotated. The transcript is spliced from 18 exons. Lineage: Eukaryota; Metazoa; Chordata; Mammalia; Rodentia; Muridae. The record is from RefSeq and is marked validated.
CCCCGCGGAAGGCCCCCUCAUCACUCUGUUAGGCUGUUAGCCACACUUGGGAAAGGAAGCAUGGCGUGCGAGCUGCGAGCUGUGUUGCUGUGGGGCCGCGGGCUGCAGACUGUACUGCGGGCCCCCGCGCUGGCUGGAGUUCGGCGAGGAAAGCCAGUUCUGCACCUUCAGAAGACUACAGUCCAGUUUAGGGGCCCCACACAAAGUCUGGCUUCAGGGAUCUCUGCAGGACAGUUAUACAGCACACAGGCAGCCGAGGACAAGGAGGAGGAGAGCCUGCACUCCAUCAUCAGCAACACUGAGGCAGUGCGGGGUUCUGUCUCCAAACAUGAGUUCCAGGCAGAGACAAAGAAACUUUUGGACAUCGUAGCCCGUUCUCUGUACUCAGAAAAAGAGGUGUUCAUACGAGAGCUCAUCUCCAAUGCCAGUGAUGCCUUGGAGAAACUGCGGCACAAGCUGGUGUGUGAAGGCCAGGUGCUGCCAGAAAUGGAGAUUCACCUUCAGACGGAUGCCAAGAAGGGCACUAUUACCAUUCAGGACACUGGCAUUGGGAUGACACAGGAGGAGCUGGUGUCCAACCUUGGCACAAUUGCCAGAUCGGGGUCAAAGGCCUUCCUGGAAGCACUGCAGAACCAGGCAGAGACCAGCAGCAAGAUCAUUGGUCAGUUUGGAGUGGGUUUCUAUUCAGCCUUCAUGGUAGCUGACAAGGUUGAAGUCUAUUCUCGAUCAGCAGCUCCAGAGAGCCCAGGUUACCAGUGGCUUUCAGAUGGUUCUGGAGUGUUUGAAAUUGCCGAAGCUUCAGGAGUUAGACCUGGGACCAAAAUAAUCAUCCACCUCAAGUCAGACUGUAAAGAUUUUGCCAGCGAGUCCCGGGUACAAGAUGUGGUAACAAAGUACAGUAACUUUGUCAGCUUCCCCUUGUACCUUAAUGGAAAGCGGAUUAACACUUUGCAGGCCAUCUGGAUGAUGGACCCAAAGGACAUCAGUGAAUUUCAGCAUGAGGAAUUCUACCGUUAUAUUGCUCAGGCUUAUGAUAAGCCCCGCUUCACUUUGCACUACAAGACGGACGCACCACUCAACAUCCGCAGCAUCUUCUAUGUGCCAGAGAUGAAACCAUCCAUGUUUGAUGUGAGCAGGGAGCUGGGCUCCAGCGUGGCACUGUAUAGCCGCAAGGUCCUCAUCCAGACCAAGGCUGCAGACAUCCUGCCCAAGUGGCUGCGCUUCAUUCGAGGUACUGCUGCUGACACCCAGGCUCUGCACUGUGGACGGUGACCCAGGAUUCCAAGUGGCAUGGCCAUGUGUCCUCAUGCUGCCCACUGCAUUUGCUUCCGCUGUGUCCUAGACCCUCCUCACCCAGCAGGACAGGUGUGGUGGAUAGUGAGGACAUUCCCCUGAACCUCAGCAGAGAGCUCCUGCAGGAGAGUGCGCUCAUCCGGAAACUCCGGGAUGUUCUACAACAGAGAUUGAUCAAGUUCUUCAUUGACCAGAGUAAAAAAGAUGCUGAAAAAUACGCAAAGUUUUUUGAAGAUUAUGGCUUGUUCAUGAGGGAGGGCAUUGUGACCACUGCAGAGCAAGACAUCAAGGAGGAUAUUGCAAAACUGCUACGGUAUGAGUCCUCAGCCCUGCCUGCUGGGCAGCUGACCAGCUUACCAGACUAUGCCAGCCGAAUGCAGGCUGGCACCCGCAACAUCUAUUACCUGUGUGCCCCUAACCGUCACCUGGCUGAACAUUCACCCUAUUACGAAGCCAUGAAGCAGAAACAUACUGAGGUGCUCUUCUGCUAUGAGCAGUUCGAUGAGCUUACUCUGCUGCACCUGAGGGAGUUUGACAAGAAGAAGCUCAUCUCUGUGGAAACAGACAUCGUCGUUGAUCACUACAAGGAGGAAAAGUUUGAGGACACAUCUCCAGCUGAUGAGCGCCUCUCGGAGAAGGAAACAGAAGAUCUAAUGGCGUGGAUGAGAAAUGCACUAGGGUCCCGUGUCACCAAUGUGAAGGUGACUUUCCGCCUAGACACCCACCCUGCCAUGGUGACCGUGCUGGAGAUGGGGGCUGCUCGGCAUUUCUUGCGUAUGCAGCAGCUGGCCAAGACCCAGGAGGAACGUGCCCAACUGCUACAGCCCACACUGGAGAUCAACCCCAGGCACACACUGAUAAAGAAGCUCUGCCAGCUGAGGGAGAGCGAGCCGGAGCUGGCCCAGCUGCUCGUGGAUCAGAUCUAUGAGAAUGCCAUGAUAGCAGCAGGACUCGUUGAUGACCCCCGGGCCAUGGUCGGCCGCCUGAACGACCUUUUGGUCAAGGUCCUGGAGAAACACUGACAGCCAAGACACUGGAUUUAGUGUCAACCCAGGUCUUCUCGGGUGAUAAUGGACCUGCCUGGGGAGGCAGGACUUAAUACACAAACAGUGCCACCAACUGCUUGAGCUCAGCUUUAUUUACUUCAAUUAAACAGUAUUUCUUAGUCCCCGUG